RNAcentral lists this transfer RNA (67 nucleotides) under Cnemoplites australis. Its description in RNAcentral is "tRNA-Asn". Lineage: Eukaryota; Metazoa; Arthropoda; Insecta; Coleoptera; Cerambycidae. The record is from RNAcentral.
UUAAUUGAAACCAAAAUAAAGAGGUAUGCCACUGUUAAUGGCAUCAUUGGGUUAAACCCCGAUUAAA